UUGUUCUCCUUUUCCUCCGUCCUCCUUCCCCCGUCCUCGUCCUCGUCCUCCUCCUCCUCCUCCUCUCAGUUCGCGCAUGCUCCCUCCUACUCUUCUCUUCGCUUCAAACUCCUCCUCCUCUCUCUCUCCGUCUCAUUCUCUUUCCUUCCAUCGUCUCUGCAACACACUUGACUCAGCCGACCAGUCAGCCAGCCAGCCAGUCAGUCAGCCAGCCAACCAGUCACUAUCAGUCAGACACUCGGCCAGUCAGAAAAAAAAGUUUAUAGCGAAAGAAAAAUUAACUUAAAAAACCGGAUUCUGUGAUUGUUUCAAGACACAAAGAAACAAAAAAAAGAAACAGCGCAAUUAACGCAACUUUGUCCGUCACAACUCGAAGAAAUAAGAAAACACAAGAACACUUUUUAAUCCGUAAAGAAAAGAACUGAGCUGAGAAAGAAGUUAUAAAAAAAAUUAAAAAUCACCGUUUAAAAAUUUUCAUUACCACAAGAAAAAAAAUAUCGGACUUAGAGGAACUGAGAGAGAAAAUAACAAAAUUGUACUGAUUAGCCGAGGGGAAAAAAUAGUUGUUUUUAACUCUUUUACUAACAAUGGCUGGGCGGUGGUCUAACAGCGGCGGUGGUGGCGGCAGCAGUAGUAAUGGUAGUAGUGGUGGUGGUGGUGGUGGUGGUGGUGGUGGUGGUAGUAGUAGUAGUAGUGGUGGUGGUGGUGGUCGCCGCCGCAUAUCUCCAGUAAUCGUUAUGGUGGUGCUAGUGGCGGUGGUGGUGGUGGUGGUGGGCGAGCAGCAGCAGCUACAGCAAGAGGCGUACCACCACCACCACCACCUCCACCACCGCCACUACCCACACCUGCCCACCUUCGCCAUCAUGAACGGGAGUCUGUCAGUGAUUCGCGAGGGACAGAACGGCUUCAUCUAUUGCUUUGCGAACCUCCGCCUGCCGCUUCGAGUCGCCUGGACUGACCCUGACGGCAUGUCCCUCCCGCCUUACACGAGCACGGAGCCACCUAGCACGGGCAUGGGCGUGAGUGGAGGCGAGGGCGAGGUAUACGAGGUGUCGGGCGCUUAUCCAAUACCCUUCGCCUUUUUAAUAUUCCGCGGGUUCUCUACAAACUUGUCGGGUCGCUACACGUGCACGCUUGCAUAUGGAAACACGCGCCUAGCCACACGCACCACACACCUACACUUUUUCGCCCCCUCGUACCGCGUCGUGCCGGUCCCCCAGUGCUUCAUCGUGCCAAGAGGCGGCGCCGUGCUCCUCCCCUCCCCCGUGCAGGGCAGCCCCCCACGCCCGCCCGCCUGGUCACUGCUGGAGGGGGAAAGGGACAACGCAGCCGUCAGGACUCUCAACGGAAGACUCCUGCUGAGGGGGCUGAAAGGUCCCGUGGCGUGGCGAGCCGAGGUGACCCUGGGCGGCGGCCUCACCUUCUUUCAAGACGUGUUUGUGUCCGUGCAGGAUGGAGGAGGCGGUGGCGAUCGGUGGUGGUGGAGAGAAUGGAGGAAGGCGCGGCGUCAUCAGCUCCACACCCACGGCCGCCCGCACCUGCCCGACCCGCGCCCACGCCUCCCCUGGUAGCCCGUACGUCGCCUCAGCCGCCCUAGCCAAUGAAGUGAUUCAAGAUAUACAGAUUCACGCCUUCCGGAGAAGACUGAUGGGCGAGGAGUGAGAGGGAGAGGGAGAGGAGGGGGUGGUAACUAGAAAUCUGACGUGACUGUCGCAAUUAAUAAGGCUCAGGCUCUCUCUCUCUCUCUCUCUCUCUCUCUCUCUCUCUCUCUCUCUCUCUCUCUCUCUCUCUCUCUCUCUCUGAUUACACGCGUAAUUCAUUAUGUAAACAAAUCAAUUUAUUUAUCAUCUGAGUUGAUAGAGCUUUAAUGAGAGAGAGAGAGAGAGAGAGAGAGAGAGAGAGAGAGAGAGAGAGAGAGAUAGCUUGACUAAACCUGUAUAGACGGGGCUGAGAGGUUGUAAUAGGCAGGCAUGUUGUAUACAGUACAGGGACCGCCACGUGUAGGUCUGAUGGCUUCCUGCACAAACCCUCUCCCCCACUCCCACUACCACUCUCUCUCUCUCUCUCUCUCUCUCUCUCUCUCUCUCUCUCUCUCUCUCAACUUAGAAUAUUAAUCUUUACGUAAGGUUCCUAACAUAACUUUCAACAUACGAGGGUUUAACAUAAUGUCUUCUAGGAGUAAAGAGAUAUAGAUAUAUUAUAAUGGUUUGGAGAUCGUAUACCCGAACUCCAGUAUAUCAUAAGAACCUCGGGCAGUUUGACUAUAUGGUGAGUGUUUAUUGAUGUAACCAUAUAUAACUUUACGGAGCAGGAAAUAAAGUUAUAAGCAAAGUUAUAGGCA
This is a long non-coding RNA of Scylla paramamosain (green mud crab), 2341 nucleotides long. RefSeq lists it as uncharacterized. Lineage: Eukaryota; Metazoa; Arthropoda; Malacostraca; Decapoda; Portunidae. The record is from RefSeq and is a predicted model, not a curated record. The transcript has 3 exons.